This 460-nucleotide ribosomal RNA is filed under the name uncultured bacterium. RNAcentral describes it as "partial 16S ribosomal RNA". It matches the Rfam family "Bacterial small subunit ribosomal RNA", at positions 338 to 795 of the family's 1533-position model. The record is from RNAcentral.
CCUACAGGAGGCAGCAGUGAGGAAUAUUGGUCAAUGGGCGGGAGCCUGAACCAGCCAAGUCGCGUGAGGGAAGACGGUCCUAUGGAUUGUAAACCUCUUUAGGCGGGGAGCAAUGCCGGGCACGCGUGCCCGGAGGGAGAGUACCCGCAGAAUAAGCAUCGGCUAACUCCGUGCCAGCAGACGCGGUAAUACGGAGGAUGCGAGAGUUAUCCGGAUUGAUUGGGUUUAAAGGGUGCGUAGGCGGAUUUUUAAGUCAGCGGUAAAAUGUCCGGGCUCAACCCGGGCCGGGCGUUGAAACUGGGGAUCUUGAGUGGGCGAGAAGUAUGCGGAAUGCGUGGUGUAGCGGUGAAAUGCAUAGAUAUCACGCAGAACUCCGAUUGCGAAGGCAGCAUACCGGCGCCCGACUGACGCUGAGGCACGAAAGCGUGGGGAUCGAACAGGAUUAGAUACCCUGGUAGUC